This 706-nucleotide small RNA is filed under the name Oryza sativa Japonica Group (Japanese rice). RNAcentral describes it as "sRNA Os04g0673050". The record is from RNAcentral. Lineage: Eukaryota; Viridiplantae; Streptophyta; Magnoliopsida; Poales; Poaceae.
ACCAUUCUGUCCAGCUGAAGAAGUGAACUCAGAUGGUCUUCGUUUACUUGCACUGGCAAUUGGGGCAUCUGGCCCAUGAUACCAGGCGUCUCGCUCAUUCUGCAGCACAAAAGGAAAAAAUAUUAUAUUUUAAUUAAAAUGCGAGAAGUUUAUGGACAUACAAACCUUGAAUGUUUCGAUAUUUGUGGCGAUUUGGUUGAGUAAAUGAUUGUUUUCUUCCAGGAGAUGCUGUGUUGCACUAUCCACGACAGGACCUUCCUUAGGAACCUGACAUUGCUGAUUUGUAUGUUGCAUCGAUAUUGAGAAAGGGGUCACAGUGUUUGCAGGUGCCAGGUGAAAAUUAGCCAUGGAGGCAGAUGCAACCAUCUUGUCCUGGAUUGGCUUCAUGUCUCUUAUCUUUUUCCCUGUAUAAAAUCCAUCAGGUUUCUUCCUUCUAUCUUUACUCUGUAACACCCACCAACACCGCAAUGCAACAUCCCUGACAGUCCUGUUGGGUAGCAUAGCUGCUAUUUUUAUGUACUUCAUGAUAUUCGGUUCGCGAGCAUAUCUGCCACCCUUCCUUCAGUGUGUUCAGCUCACGGUCAUUCCAAUCUGAAGGCGAACCAGUGACGAACUUGUACUUGGGCGCCACCGUGCUACUGAACGCAUCCCCCGACGAGCUCCUCGACGGGCCGGCCACCGAUGCGUUGCCCAGCACACCGGUGUU